Molecule: ribosomal RNA, 380 nt
Filed under: uncultured eukaryote
Lineage: Eukaryota
Description: partial 18S ribosomal RNA
Rfam family: Eukaryotic small subunit ribosomal RNA
Source: RNAcentral
CAAUAGCGUAUAUUAAAGUUGUUGCAGUUAAAAAGCUCGUAGUUGGAUUUGUGGCUGUCACGGGCGGCCUAUCACUUAGUGUUAGUGCUUGCCUGUGUCGCCAUCCUUGGGUGGAGCCCGUGUGGCAUUAGGUUGUCGUGCGGGGGAUGCCCAUCGUUUACUGUGAGAAAAUUAGAGUGUUCAAAGCAGGCUUAUGCCAUUGAAUAUGUUAGCAUGGAAUAAUAAGAUAGGACCUCGGUACUAUUUUGUUGGUUUGCGCACCGAGGUAAUGAUUAAUAGGGACAGUUGGGGGUAUUCGUACUUCAUUGUCAGAGGUGAAAUUCUUGGAUUUCUGAAAGACGAACUACUGCGAAAGCAUUUACCAAGGAUGUUUUCAUUAA